Passer domesticus (house sparrow) is the source of this 6647-nucleotide long non-coding RNA. RefSeq lists it as uncharacterized. Lineage: Eukaryota; Metazoa; Chordata; Aves; Passeriformes; Passeridae. The transcript is spliced from 4 exons. The record is from RefSeq and is a predicted model, not a curated record.
CUGCCCCACGAGGGAGGGAGCGGGCGGGGGCCGCGGCUGAGGGGAAGCAGCGGCAGCGGCACCGGGCCCGGGGCGGCGGAAUGACGAGCCCGGGCGGAACCUGCGCGACACCUUUAUGAGCUCAGCGAGGAGAUGGCGGCGGCGGCGGAGCCCUGCGCGCCCGCCGGCUGCAGCGCCCCCUGUCGCCUGGGAGGACUCUCUACACCCCCUCGGUCCCUCACGCCGCGACCCCGGCCCGGGCGGCGCCUCCGGCGGGGCCGAAUCACCCCGCGUGACCCGGCGGGGCGGGGGGCAGUCCUGUGGAGAAUCCCGGUGGAAAAAUAUCGAUAAACAGAAUUUUGGCAAUACACAAGACAGCCCAGAGCCUAUGGAUAGAAAAAGGAAGUUGUGGAACUGGCAUGAACAAAACUACAAGACUGCAAAACAUCCAUCUUUAGGACACAUGUGAAAGACAGAAUGGUGAUUUCCAUGAAGUUCAGCAGUCUGCCUGCUGGUCAUGCACCACAGAGCCUGAAUGAAAGAACCCCUCACAAAGCUCACUUGGACAUCGUGCCUGCAGUCACAGGACACUGUCAGAGCAGAUUCCCAGCAGCUGGGAAAAAAAAAGUGCAAUGCUGUGGGUCAGAAGUGAAACUGGGUGGGUGUGGGCAUCUAAGUUCCUUCUAAAGUAAUCAGAGCAGUAGUAGGAGCAAUAAUGAAUUGCCAUGGGGGGAUCUGCUAAGUGUCAAUAUGAAUGUCAUCCUUUUUUCUUCUCCAAUUGUUGUCUCAUUGCCUGAUGGCAACAGGUUGUUGAAAACUGCCUGACUGAAAAUAUGCUGAAAUAGCAUCACAUGAUAUUUGAGAGAGGAAUUAAAUAUUUAACAUAUAUUUUUACUGCAAAAGAAACAUGAAAGAAAACUGAAUUGUGCUCUGAUAUUAUAAACAGAAAAUGACAGGGGAAUAAUUCAAAUCUAAACCCAUCACCUCCCUCGUUAUGAAAACCUAAUCAAAUUAUAAAAGUAGCUCUCCCAAGCUCAUUGCCACAGUUGUUGCUCAAUCAGAAGGUCUGUGUAAUGGUAGAGGAAACCUUCAGACACACUUUUAGAUUAGGCAACUAUGUUUUUCCUGAUGGACUAUAAAAAAAUUUUAUAAACAUUUCCACUUCCCAUCACUUGAAAUUAAAGAGAAUAAUUUCCAUUAACUUUCAACUAGCUCAACUAUGGAAGCCAUUCUCUCUCUGGAGUCUUUUCCUUCUUAAACAUGCUCUGAUGUUGGACUGAUUUUUCACAAAUUGUUUCGUUCUGUUGUCACCCUAAACACUGAGCUUUUUGCCAGUAACUUGAAGGAUAAAGCUGUGCCUCCUAGUGCUACUGUAAUAACCACUAAAGUAACUGUAUUUCUUUAGUUAACCACCAGAAGUUUUAGACAAAUCCUUGCCCUCUGGUGGUGGAAAUGCUUCCCCUGGUUGAUCCUCCUCUAGCAUGAUUAAUUCUGUGACACUUCCUUAGUUUCAAAAGUAUUUUCUUAAUUUUGCAGAACUGCCUUUGUGGAGGAGAUACUCCACAAGAACAGGUUUCAGAAUGUUAUCUUUGAACUCCAAUUACUCUGAAUUUUCUCUCAUAGGAUUAGGUCUAAUGUAGGCAGUGGUGCUCCACCUGUGUGCUUCCUUCAGCCUUCAGGCACACUAAUUUUCACUCCACUUGUCUUCAUUGUUUGACCUGGCAAUAUCCCCUGCAUUACCUCAGAGAUGUUCAUCCCAAAUCUGGAUACAUCCCCACAAAUCUGCUCAACAUGGCAGUGGGUCUCUCCUCACUCACUACCUGCUAUGUGGCACCAUUCUCUAGCCAUGGUCAAAUAAGUGAGAGCAGAACAUUUUAAAGCUUCCAAACUUCAUGACUUCAGAAACUGGUAUCCUGCACCAGUCAGGAGUAUUUAAUUUCUCCCUUCUCUGAGGUUGAAAAAUUGAUAGGAGCACUUUUCCUCCCCACCCACGUGCGUGGUACAGCCUACAAAAAGCCACACACACACUGGCAUUGACAAACUGAAAAUUUGAUUCAAUACUUGGCUUAAUAUGUGGGAAUCAUGAAACUAUGGAACCUCUUGUCAGGAGCAAAGGCUACUGAAACAACUUGCAUUAAACAGUGUUAAGUUUCUUUGAAGGCAGAUAUCAAAACAUUGUUUCAGAACUUUUUUUUUGCAAGUUGCAUAUUUUUAGUAUCAGAAAUGCUACAUAAACAUUGGCCAGGUAAUUUAAAUUACUAUUGAAAAAAAAAUUAAUAGAAACACCUACUUACUGAUGCAAUUCAUUUUGGUUUCCUAUAUAAAGUAACAAAAUCAGGUGCUUUAAACCAAAAUGGUGGCUUCAGGACAAAGAGAACUAAACUAAAAAAGUCAGGUAACAACUUAUCUAGAAAUGUUACUUAUCUAAAAAGUAAGAAAAACAAAUGUAUGUCUGAUUUAUAUAAGCAUCCCAGACAAAGAGAAAACACAGGACUGCAGACCUAUUGAGAUGCCCCUUAAAGCACAUUGAAAAUUCAAUGAAAUUUUAAUCUCAUUGCAAUUAAAUGCAAAAUUCCUCCAACACCAAUAAAAUCAAGAUUUCUUCUGAUAAAGAACAUUGGAGUGAGCACAACUGGCAAUGAACAGUUCCAGAGGUAAAGGAUAAAUUUUAAUUUCCAUAACAGAAAAGUGAGUUCUGUAAUUGUCCCCAGCUGAAGCAACAGGAACAAAAGUUUUAAUGUGUGCAAAAUUAAUAUGUUUGAUUAUAAACUUAUAAGUUAAAGAACACAGUCCCCAGCACAGCUGCCACAGACUGGCAGAAGCAUUACACUUAUUACACAGAAAUAGAAAGGGAUGAUGAUGUUUACCUUCUCCCUGGAGCUCCCCUUUUCCCAAAGAAGAGCAGCCCAGUUUUUAUGUGCACCACAAGAGCUGCAUUGCAGUGUGCCUGUGAUUUAGGAAUCACCAAGAGCCUUCAAUAAUGCUCUGAUUCUAUCACACAGAGCAGCUGUUCCCACUCUGCAGCCUCAAACUACAGCAGGGGCUAUUUACUGACCAACUGGUGAGCACUUCAUCUUUAGUUUCUUAGGCAAGCUGAAAAGGGAAAAAUAUGCAAAACUAGUGCCAUUACAUCUGGGGAAUUGAUUUAGAAAGAAAAAACCAAUCUGUCCUUGGUGAGAAGUGUUUGCUACUUGACACUAAAUGAAUCUCUCAAUAUUAAACUUCAAAGCUCUGAUGUAAGAGAACCCAAAUAGUUCAGAGCCUCUUUAAAGUUGCCACAGCACUCAGUAAAGUUAAGGACAAGGAAAAGUAGGGCUCUUCUUAUGUUCCUGUACUGCAUCAUCCCCUCCUUCUGCCCUGCAAAACACAAUGAGAACACAUCUUUUGAUGUUUUGAAUUCUUCAUGGCUUUGUAUAGCAGCAUAACACCAGAGCACCUCAUUUAAAUUUUUGAUUUAUCAUAAAUCCCAAGAGAUUGUUAUAAGAAGUAAAAAAUGUCAUAAACCAGUAAAAGCUUUAACUUUUCACCAGCAACUUCAAACUCUGAAUUAACACAGAUAUAACUUGAAAUGAUUGUGUUUUUAUCUCCUGCCUUUAAGUCACAGCAACAAUUCACACUGGAUUUACCUAACAUUUGGAGAAAAAGCAAGUCUAGGUAACUAGUGUUUCCUAGUGUUUAGUGAGUUUACAAAAAUGUAAUUUUUGUAACAAUAAUCUAGUUCUUCAAUGGGUUGCCAGAAUAAAAUGUCCCAAUUCCUUUCUGUCAGUCAUUAUUGACACUGCUCAAUCUAUUGUCUCUCUGAAAGAUAAAUAAAAUGUGACAGUGAAAAGAACAACCACGAGGAGACAUAAAUGCACUUGUACUCAGCACCAAUGCAAGCAGCUCACAAAUAACUUUUCAGACAAAACUGCCAUGGAAUUUCAUGAACAAUGUUUCUGAGCUGCCAUUUUCACCACACUUUAUAGCUAAUGAUUUCUGUAGGUCUGACAAAUCUUUUAACUAUGCUAUGGUUUAUGGCUACUGAUUCAAAAAACAAGGAAAAAGGUUAGUAACCUGAAGAAUAUGAAUGAUCCCACUAGCACAGCUGUAGAUCCUGAUGAGUGUCAGAAAGCACAGAUAUGAUAUAAAAUGCUUUUCUGAGCUUCAGAAACUUGAAAAUAGGACACAUUUUCUUAUAAAAACUCCUUUUUCAGUCAACACCUCUAUAAAAACCCAGUCCUUUGUUUCCAUGUCCCCUAAUUGUCUUUUCAUUUGAUCUCAAUACAUUCCAUACAUGUGCCACUCAGUAAACUGAUUUAUCUUGCAUCACUCAGCUUUUACCAGCACAGUAUUCCACUUCUCCUAGGAUUUAGGCCCACAUUCCAAACAAUAAAGCCAAAGGAAGGAGAUCUUAAUUAUUUUUAAAGGUAAACUGAGUGAAAUUUGCUUCUCCAUCUCAAAAUACAUAAAUACAUAUAUAAAAGCAGUAGGUAACUUUGGCUGUAAAAAACCCACCUUCACUAUUGUCCUUUUAAAAUAGGUAAAGAGCAAUAACCUCAUCUGGAAACUAAAAAUAGCAUGAGUAAUUUUACCAUCUUUUCACUUUUUGCUCUUAUUCCCCUGGAAUAUAGUGACCUUAUUGGCUUUGCUUAUGUAAGUGGUAAUAGAUUGCCUAGCUGGAAUUUUUCAUUUAACACAAGCAAUUUUGUGCAGAUUCUCUGCUGGGCCGAUCUUUCUGCCCUCCUUUUUGCAUUGCAGCUCUCACUGGUGUGACCUCUCAGCCAGGGGCAGCAGGAAGGUCUGGCUGCUCUCCAGCCACAUCCACCUUUGACACUGGCUGAGAUGCAGGGCACUGAGUGCUGCAGACACUCAGGGGUCACACACAGGCUCCUCCUGCCCCAGAACACCAAUAAAUCUGUUUCCACUGGGUUGACAGAGCCAGCACUCUCUGUCACAGCACAGACCUGCCCAGCAGCUGCAGCCAGGACCUUUGGCUGCCAAGAGUCCUUCCCUAAAUCCAACUUGUGGGCCAAAGGCAAAGGACGUGUUGCAAUGGACAGCACUAUCAGACUUGGAUCAAUGGCUGAUCCUGACUCUCCCCCUCCUGUUAGUGAAGGCACAUCCAUUUACCUGGUGUCUUCCUUCACAAUUAGUGAUCACAAUGGGAUAAAGCAGGAAACACUUCUGAACAUCCAGCUUCUUAGUCCUACAUCCGACUUCUUCUUUGCAGGGCUCAGACAAGUUUGUAAUAAACACUCUCUCCUUUUUUAAGCAAAUUACUCCGAAAUAGCCACAGCUCUCACACAUCUGUUGCCCUCUGGUAGACAUGCUGAGUUUCUAUGACAUUUAACAGAAAUAUCAUGCAGGUACCAGAAUUAUUCCUAAGUGUCUUUCCAUUCAUUGGGACUUACAGUAAAACAGCUACAGAUGUUGCAAACAAGACAAACACUGAUUUCACUGAAUCCAAUACUUCAGUCAUGAGACUGCUUAAAUGAAAGAACAUGGACUAAACAGGAAAAGUACCAAAAAGAAAAAAAAAGAGAAAAAAAGAAAAAGCUUAUCUUAUAGCCUAUAAUGAAAUCAUGUUCUCCAAUUUCUUUAGGUUCAGGCCUUCAUGAUCCUUAUUUUCACCUAUUUCACAUUUUGCAAUAGAGGCAUUUUUACAAGUUUUAAAAAUCUUUCAGAGCGUGCUCCAACAAUAGAAACCAAUGUGCAUGGCAAAUAAAAUUUGGAUGAAAGCAGUGAGACCUCAGAGUUUGAAUCCUCAGCAGUGUCAGGAUCAUCACACCUGAUGGACACAUAGAUCCAGAUGCAAUCCAAAGGCUGAUGUAACAAAUCUUAAUUCAACUCAGCUUAUUAACAAUCCUCUCCAAGCAAUCUCCAAGGAAGCAUUCAUGAAAGCUGUUUCUGUACAGUGAGACUUUGUCACAUGUUAUUAAACAUCACUAAAGAUGGUCUCCUGUGACGUACAGAAAAACUUCUCAGCCAAAAGGCAAAAAUUCAGAUUAAGGGCACUUCUGUUACAUUUGGGAAAAUAAGCAAACGUUAAACAUUGUGCAAAAGGAAAAGACUUUAUUUAACACCAUAUAUGAUUUGGAAGUUUCAAGCACUGAAGACCAGAACAACAAACUGUAUUUUGCUUUUCCAAAUACAUGCUAUAUUCAGCACGGAAGCCAUUGAUUUUUAAGCUACACCAGAAAUGUCUUCUAGCAUCUAGUUACUGCUGAUUGCCUUUUCAGCUGCCAAUUCUUGUUUGGGUUUUGAGUAAUCCCAAGGUCUCCUGUUCUCUGUGUAUCCAUAGAGCUUCCGCAGUGCCACUCGAGCAGCCUCCUCCUCUGCAGCCAGCAGUGUUUCACCAGGGCCUUCAGCUAACAUCUUCUUAUCACUUGAGGAAAAAAACCAAAGUCACAACCAUGAAAAUCCAAAGUUUCCAUCAUAAAACCCUGAGCACUGCUGUGUACUGUGACUAAAACAGACUGUUGUUUCUCCAAUGUCUUUGAACACUGAUUUCUGUAUACACACAAUGGAAACAUUUCUGUUGGUCUUUCCUGCAAAGGUACUGUCAAACGUCUGCCAACCUCCCUGGAUCUGUCCCCAUGCAGGUACAAACCAGCAUUCAUUGAACCUACCCUGACAAAGAGCCCGGUUCUCUCGGGCCCGCUGCUUUCCAGCAGGGCUCCUAUCACGGC